RNAcentral lists this ribosomal RNA (497 nucleotides) under uncultured bacterium. Its description in RNAcentral is "partial 16S ribosomal RNA". It matches the Rfam family "Bacterial small subunit ribosomal RNA", at positions 28 to 507 of the family's 1533-position model. The record is from RNAcentral.
GAUGAACGCUGGCGGCGUGCCUAAUACAUGCAAGUCGAGCGAACAGACGAGGAGCUUGCUCCUCUGACGUUAGCGGCGGACGGGUGAGUAACACGUGGAUAACCUACCUAUAAGACUGGGAUAACUUCGGGAAACCGGAGCUAAUACCGGAUAACAUGUUGAACCGCAUGGUUCAAUAGUGAAAGACGGUCUUGCUGUCACUUAUAGAUGGAUCCGCGCCGCAUUAGCUAGUUGGUAAGGUAACGGCUUACCAAGGCAACGAUGCGUAGCCGACCUGAGAGGGUGAUCGGCCACACUGGAACUGAGACACGGUCCAGACUCCUACGGGAGGCAGCAGUAGGGAAUCUUCCGCAAUGGGCGAAAGCCUGACGGAGCAACGCCGCGUGAGUGAAGAAGGUCUUCGGAUCGUAAAACUCUGUUAUUAGGGAGGAACAAAUGUGUAAGUAACUAUGCACGUCUUGACGGUACCUAAUCAGAAAGCCACGGCUAACUACGUG